Molecule: ribosomal RNA, 253 nt
Filed under: uncultured bacterium
Lineage: Bacteria
Description: partial 16S ribosomal RNA
Rfam family: Bacterial small subunit ribosomal RNA
Source: RNAcentral
UACAGAGGGUGCGAGCGUUAAUCGGAAUUACUGGGCGUAAAGCGUGCGCAGGCGGUUUUGUAAGCCAGAUGUGAAAUCCCCGGGCUUAACCUGGGAAUGGCAUUUGAAACUGGAAGGCUUGAGUGUGGCAGAGGGGGGUGGAAUUCCACGUGUAGCAGUGAAAUGCGUAGAGAUGUGGAGGAACACCAAUUGCGAAGGCAGCUCGCUGGGACGUUACUGACGCUGAGACGCGAAAGCGUGGGGAGCAAACAGG